This 401-nucleotide ribosomal RNA is filed under the name uncultured bacterium. RNAcentral describes it as "bacterial SSU rRNA". It matches the Rfam family "Bacterial small subunit ribosomal RNA", at positions 358 to 773 of the family's 1533-position model. The record is from RNAcentral.
GGAAUUUUGCGCAAUGGGCGGAAGCCUGACGCAGCACCGCCGCGUGGAGGAAGAAGGCCUCCGGGUCGUAAACUCCUGUCCCCGGGGAAGAAGCCCGUGACGGUACCCGGGGAAGCAGCCCCGGCUAACUCCGUGCCAGCAGCCGCGGUAAUACGGGGGGGGCGAGCGUUGUUCGGAUUUACUGGGUGUAAAGGGCGCGUAGGCGGCCCGAGAAGUUCUGGGUGAAAGCCCCCGGCGCAACCGGGGAAGCGCCUGGAAAACCAUCGGGCUGGAGUGCUGGAGAGGCAAGCGGAAUUUCUGGUGUAGCGGUGAAAUGCGUAGAUAUCAGAAGGAACACCUGCGGCGAAGGCGGCUUGCUGGACAGACACUGACGCUGAGGCGCGAAAGCCAGGGGAGCAAAC